CUUUGGCUGGGAAUUGGAUGCUUCAGAAUAUAACACUCACUGAGAUAUUGCAGAUGUUGAAGUAUAGAUGUAUAAAACCGUACAGUAUAAAGAAUAUACUGUGUGUGGAUAAUCAGAGCGUUUUUACAAUCUGUUCACAUGCUGCCACAGAGAAGAGUUAUUCAUUACAAUAGAAAAGCUGAGACAAAGGGGAAAAGGAAUGCCUAAAUAGCUGCAGGCAUAAAACAGCAACAAAUGUGCUACAAACAAUUCAGAUUUUUUGUAUUCAGUAGUCUAAAACAAGAAGGAACAACAAAUGAAGCCAAAGACACCGAAGUCUCUCUCAGAUGCAGUUUCCUACCAGAAUGCAGAGAUUCCCUCUUGAACCUACCCUUGUUCUUCACCUCACUGCUUCAAUGCAGUGUCCUGGAGUUCUUGACCUUGGAGUUCUCAUACCGGCCUGCUUUUGAGAUCCAGACUGCUCUGUUUACCCCAGGCAUCUCCUGAGGAGGGAGAGACCUGAGAAAUGUAGAGGCACACCCCAGCUUCACUUCAAACUCCAG
This is a long non-coding RNA of Gallus gallus (chicken), 542 nucleotides long. The record is from Ensembl. NCBI's taxonomy places the organism in Eukaryota, Metazoa, Chordata, Aves, Galliformes, Phasianidae.